Molecule: long non-coding RNA, 662 nt
Organism: Rhineura floridana
Lineage: Eukaryota; Metazoa; Chordata; Lepidosauria; Squamata; Rhineuridae
Exons: 4
Source: RefSeq, a predicted model, not a curated record
GCAUCGUUUUCAACAUAGAGUUCACCAUAGAGUGACGGCUUGCAAUAGCUGCCGGAAGUUCAGGCUAGGAGUGACUAAGCUUCAUGUUUCAUCUCCUUCUAGUUCCCUCCCCCCGAUAACAUUCUGGGAAGGUCCCUUGAGGCAGGUCUUCCGUUUCCUUCUUCCUUUCUUUCGUGUGGCUUGGUUCUCUGCAGCAGCGUGGCUUUCAGGAUGAGGAACACCAGGAGAAUUCCCGGGCACUUCAGCCAUGCCCGUGGUCAGGGAGAAACAUGGAAUUGAAUUGUUGUUCUGUAGGAAAUAAGCUGGUUUUGCCUCAUACGUGACUCGAUGGCUGUUGCUCAGAGCAGAGGUUUGUGCUAGCUUUGCAAAAAGAGCAGCACUCAUGUUUUUCGAGGUCUAUCAACAGGCAAACAAAAUACCCAGAAGGACAGGAUAGUGUUGGAAGAGUGCAGAGUCAUGGAAUUCACUUUGACAAACAGUAAAAGAUAACCAAAAGCAUGACUUUUGUUAAGAAGCCACCAGGCUUACUACAAAGGGAGAAGUGCCUAAGCAAUUCCUAUUUGGAAACUCUUCAGCAGGACAGCAGAUCUGACCGUAGGGGAAACGGAAUGUGGAAACUUGUGGAAUAGUCUUGACAUCCAAAUAAAAAAGCUUGCAUCAAA